CAACCAGCAAUGAAAAGGUCCUUUAUUUAGCCACAGAACAGAUUCAGCCCAGGCAGUGGCAGUGCGAGCAUUACCUCAUUGCUCACACCAAAGUAUAUCAUUUUGGCAUGAAGAGAUCACCUUGUAAGAAAUUCAUUCAUUUUCAUACCCAUUCAGUUACUUUUUAUCUGAG
Molecule: small RNA, 172 nt
Filed under: Gopherus agassizii (Agassiz's desert tortoise)
Lineage: Eukaryota; Metazoa; Chordata; Testudines; Testudinidae
Description: TUC338 (ENSGAGG00000011190.1)
Source: RNAcentral